This 539-nucleotide ribosomal RNA is filed under the name uncultured bacterium. RNAcentral describes it as "bacterial SSU rRNA". It matches the Rfam family "Bacterial small subunit ribosomal RNA", at positions 953 to 1503 of the family's 1533-position model. The record is from RNAcentral.
GAUGAUACGCGAGGAACCUUACCUGGACUAGAAUGUGAGGGAAUGAUUUAGAAAUAGGUCAGUCAGCAAUGACCCGAAACAAGGUGCUGCAUGGCUGUCGUCAGUUCGUGCCGUGAGGUGUUGGGUUAAGUCCCGCAACGAACGCAACCCCUGUUGUCUGUUGCCAGCGAGUUAAGUCGGGGACUCAGACAAGACUGCCUACGCAAGUAGAGAGGAAGGAGGGGACGACGUCAAGUCAUCAUGGCCCUUACGUCCAGGGCAACACACGUGCUACAAUGGGCGAUACAGAGUGUUGCGAGCUAGUAAUAGUAAGCCAAUCACAAAAAGUCGUUCACAGUUCGGAUUGAGGUCUGCAACUCGACCUCAUGAAGCUGGAAUCGCUAGUAAUCGAAUAUCAGCUAUGAUUCGGUGAAUACGUUCCCGGACCUUGUACACACCGCCCGUCAAGCCAUGGAAGUUGGGUAGACCUGAAGCGGAAGGUAAAAGAUUUCGUUAGGGUAGAAUCAGUAACUAGGGCUAAGUCGUAACAAGGUAACCGU